ACCGGGACGGGAGCGCAGACAACGGUGAGGAUUGUUGAUCAAUGCAGCAAUGGAGGGUUGGAUUUGGACGUGGGAGUAUUCAAUCGUUUGGACACGGAUGGACAAGGGUACCAACGUGGACAUCUGAUCGUUAAAUAUGUGUUUGUUGAUUGUGGGGACAACCUCAACCUCGUACUCGAUAGUCCUGAGUGAAUAUAGCAGUGUCGUAUCAGACUGCAGAGUUCUAUCAGUAUUAAACUUUCUUUGUUUUUUACUGUUAUUAGAAUAAUCGCAGUUCGACUCUGCUUGCUACUUCAAUAAAUGUUAUGAUAAUGCAGACACAGUGUGACGCAGAAACUAGUUCAAACUAUGUAUCUUGGUUUUGAUUGUUCUUGAAAGUUCCACAUCAUAAGAAGAUUUAUUGGUUACUUUACGUAAAGGAUAAGUAAUUCAUUGACUUAGCUAACUCAGACUUUAUGUCAAUUAAAUUGAUUGAGGGAGAAGAAAAUAAAUCACAAGAUUUCAUUUUAAUUUGCUAUUAAGUAAAUAAUAUAACAUCUGAUUCAGAUGUGUACAUUGCAUAUUAAUUCAAUAAAUUGAGUUGAAAAUUUUAGUCCUAAUUUAAUAAUUGUGAUCGAUGAUUAAAAAUUUGUUUUACCGAUCACCGUCAUUCAAUUAGAUUUGACUAAAAUUUAUAUAAAAUAACCAACAACUUUAUAAACUAGCAAAAUGAAUAAUUAACGGAUCUAAGUCAGAAAUGAGAAACAAAGACACACGAAAAUUGUAGAAAAGGAAAACACAGCGUCUGAUAAAAAAUGAAAACAAAAGUAUCAAACCACAAACAAUAAUUGUAGACAACACCAUCAUAGAAACGACAUUGAAAAUUUCUACUAAUGGUUGCGAAAAUGUCGGAGACAAACAAGUUGACUUCCGUUUCAAUCUUUAAGACUGGAGAAAAAACAACAGCAUUUUUUCUAUAAAAGAUGAAAUCAAAUUUUAGUGAAAUCCAGAAUAAUCUUUUCCCAAUUAUAGACUGGUUAGUCUUUCAUUUUUCAUGCUGCACAUCUUUAUAAAUAUACGUAUUAAUAAUAAAAAGUUAAAUAACAUAAGAUACUCACAAUAAUACAUUUUUUUUAUAUUAUCGUUCAUUUAUACAUAGUUUGUAUAUUUUAUUAACAUUGAUAGCAAACCCUAUCACGUUUAUGUCUGUGAACAGGAAAAUUAUAUUUCUCUUAUUUCAUAUUAAUUAAAAAUAAAAAUCAAUUUGUAAUAUGAAAUUAAUAUUUUUUAAUAAUUUAUUUUAUAAGAAUAAAUUAAGUUUAAAUUCAUUUUUUUAAUGUUAUUAGAAUCAUUCAGAGUUUAUUUAUAUCAAUUUUAUCAUGACAUUCAUCCCUUAUAUUUCCAUAUUUGAUGUGAGAACAUGGGUUAAAAUUCUCACUUAACCUAGAAAUAACAAAAUUUAAAAGAGAUCUCUUUUAAAUAUAUUUUUUUAUUGGUGUUUUUUUUUACAAAAAAUAAGUAAAUUUAUUUUUUAUAUUACAAAAAUAGAUAAUCUUUAAAAGAAUAAUGAAAAUAGAUCAAUUGUGUAAACUUUAUACGACUUCAUAUGAAAACGUCGUACAUGUCCUAGAUGAUUUUAGACAACUUCAAAAAUGAAGUAAUGUACAGAUUAUAUGACUUUAAAGAUGAAGUCGUGUGAGAUAUACUAUUUUAUCGACAUAAUCAAUUACCAGUUCUCAUAAUUCAUUAUAAUUUAUCAAAAUCAUCGCACAAUUCAAACUUUUCAAAUAGAGUUAAAUAUGUUUUUAGUCCCUAUACUUUGGAGCGAUUUUGGUUUUAGUCUCUCUUUCAAACUAUGGUACAAUUUAGUCCUUCAACUUUAGAAAACUCUGGUUUUAGUCCUUUUUACCAAUUUUUUUUUAACUUUAUUUGUUGUUUCAAACGCGUUUCUCAGUUAACAUUGAAGCAAAAAUGUGUCAAACAAUGUAAACAAUCCAAAUGCUACAAUGAAACGUGCUUGAAACAAAAAAUAAAGUUAAAAAAAUUUGGUAAAAAGGACUAAAACCAGAGUUUUCUAAAGUUGAAGGACUAAAUUGUACCAUAGUUUGAAAGAGGGACUAAAACCAAAAUCGCCCCAAAGUAUAGGGACUAAAAACAUAUUUAACCCUUUCAAAUAUUACCAAUUCACAUAAUUGAUUACAAUUUGUUACUUUCCUAUUCUCAUAAUUUUUUUAAAAUUCAUUUAUUUUUGAAAUAUAUAAAAGGCAUAUUUCCUUAUUUUUGCUCUAAUAAGAAUGACAUGGAGAAUUUUCUACAAACAACAUUAGUUUGUGAGUGGAAGACUUUGAAUUUUCUGAGAAGAAGCAAGAUGUUGGUCACCACAAGCAAUGUGUCCAGCGUCUGAGGCAACCCAUGCAUAAUAUCUAUCAUACUUUUCAAACAAAGGGCAUUUUCAUAAUUUCGUGAUCCUAGAGAAUCCCUAUAAGAGGAGAAGCGAUUGGAUGAAGCGAAAUGAAGAGAAGAAGGAUAAUGGGAAAAGUAUCUGUGUUUGUGGUGUGUGUGGCUUGUGUUGUGGCAUUGGUUUCAGGUCAGAGUGCAAGCAAUGUGAGAUCUACGUAUCAUUUGUACCAACCUGAGCAGCAUAACUGGGACUUACGCGCAGUGAGUGCGUAUUGCUCCACUUGGGAUGCUGACAAAUCCUUCGCAUGGCGCAGCAAAUAUCCUUGGACAGCUUUUUGUGAACCCUCUGGCCCUCAGGGACAACAAGCUUGUGGCAAGUGUUUGAG
RNAcentral lists this long non-coding RNA (2765 nucleotides) under Vigna radiata. Its description in RNAcentral is "long non-coding RNA (VRAD_LNC017079)". Lineage: Eukaryota; Viridiplantae; Streptophyta; Magnoliopsida; Fabales; Fabaceae. The record is from RNAcentral.